This 292-nucleotide ribosomal RNA is filed under the name uncultured Bacteroides sp. RNAcentral describes it as "partial 16S ribosomal RNA". It matches the Rfam family "Bacterial small subunit ribosomal RNA", at positions 505 to 796 of the family's 1533-position model. Lineage: Bacteria; Pseudomonadati; Bacteroidota; Bacteroidia; Bacteroidales; Bacteroidaceae. The record is from RNAcentral.
GUGUCAGCAGCCGCGGUAAUACGUAGGGUGCAAGCGUUGUCCGGAUUUACUGGGUUUAAAGGGUGCGUAGGCGGCGCGCUAAGUCUGAGAUGAAAUGGCAGGGCUCAACCCUGUCGCUGUCUUGGAUACUGGCGUGCUGGAGAAGGGAUGAGGUUGCUGGAAUGAGUGGUGUAGCGGUGAAAUGCGUAGAGAUCACUCAGAACACCGAUUGCGAAGGCAGGCAACUGGGCCCUAUCUGACGCUGAGGCACGAAAGCGUGGGGAUCAAACAGGAUUAGAUACCCCCGUAGUCC